CAGUUGUCCAUUCUCUCUCCUAGAGGUUCUCUAUCUAAAAGUGAUUGCAUGCAGUUUUUUAAUGAUUGAGCUUCUGCUCGAUUAUCGAGCUUAAUGGGAAUUGAUAUUAAGGUCCUUUGACCGAAGGUUUUUACAUUAGCUCUUUCAUAAAUUGUGAAUUGUACGGAGAAAAUUCGGAUAGUGGGGAUAACGCAUCUUCAAUCACGUCGGGUCUUUGACGUUCGGAAGAAAUCGAGUUGUUAGAGGAAUCAUCGGAGUUAUUAGCAGCGAAAAAAGGGGCGUUUUUUAAACCGAAGGGCAUUCUUUUAAAUUGGUAAUGUCCAUAAGGAGUUGAAAAAGCAGUUUUGGGAGCAUCCUUGGAAGCCAUGGGAAUUUGAUGGAAUCCGGAAGCUAAAUCGAGGACAGAAAAAUAUUUGGCAGACCCUAAUUGAUCAAGGAUAUCGGUUAUAUUAGGGAGAGGAUAAGCGUCUCCUAUUGUUUUUUCAUUGAGGCGACAGUAAUCGAUGACCAUUCACCAUCUCUUAUUACCUGAAAUGGAAGACCGAAAUAUUGUGUCCGUCAUAUCUUGGGAUCGAAUCAACUACAUCUUUAAGACGAAUCGGAGAAGUGUCCGUCGGAUUGGAUCUAUAAGGGGAUUUCUUACGGGGAUAUGGUCGUAAGUCGUCUGUUGAGUAGAAGGUAAAUCUGCGUUCGAGGUGGAAAGCUGGGCAACGCGUUGAUUUAAAUUUUCUAUCUGGAAAGUAUAUACCCAGAUAGCAAAAUGAUGCAAACUUUACGUAAAGUUUGCAGCAAAUUCGAGCAUGCCUUUGUAGCAAAAUUACGACAAGGUGUGUCCGCAAAAAGCUUAUCUUUUGCUGACAAUGCUUGUCGCAAUAGCAUGACGCAUAUUUCACGUAAAUAAUACGGCAAAUUUUGCGAUGUACAGUACAACAGCAAAUUUGUAGCAAGAACAGGGCAAACCUUGCCACGCACGACAGGAUAACAAAUUUAUGGCAAGAAUAAAACAAACCUUGCCUUGCAUAGCAUGACAGCAAAUUUGUGGCAAGAAUAGAGCAUAUCUUGCCACGCACGGCAGGAUAACAAAUUUAUGGCAAGAAUAGAACAAACCUUGCCUUGCAUAGCAUGACAGCAAAUUUGUGGCAAGAACAGAGCAAACCUUGCCACGCACGGCAGGAUAACAAAUUUAUGGCAAGAAUAGAACAAACCUUGCCUUGCAUAGCAUGACAGCAAAUUUGUGGCAAGAACAGAGCAAACCUUGCCACGCAUGCCAGGAUAGCAAAUUUGUAGCAAAAAUAGACAAAGCUUAUCGUAAUAAUGCGGAUCGUAUAAAUUAAUGAGUUCCAUUAAACAAGUUUUAAUAAAAUUAA
Molecule: long non-coding RNA, 1367 nt
Organism: Camponotus floridanus (Florida carpenter ant)
Lineage: Eukaryota; Metazoa; Arthropoda; Insecta; Hymenoptera; Formicidae
Exons: 5
Source: RefSeq, a predicted model, not a curated record